Long non-coding RNA from Zonotrichia leucophrys gambelii, 1053 nucleotides. RefSeq lists it as uncharacterized. The record is from RefSeq and is a predicted model, not a curated record. The transcript is spliced from 3 exons. NCBI's taxonomy places the organism in Eukaryota, Metazoa, Chordata, Aves, Passeriformes, Passerellidae.
UGCAGCAGGAGUGUGCUAGCCCAAAAAGAACCCCAAGAAGGACACAGCUCUCCAGGUAACAGUGACUGGACAAGAGGACACAGUCUUCAGCUGCACCAAGGGAAGUUUAGGUUGGACAUUAGGAAGAAGCUCUCCACAGAAAGGGUGAAUGGGCAUUGGAAUGGGCUGCCCAGGGAGGUGGUGAAGUCACUGUCCCUGGAGGUGUUUAAGAGAAGACUGGAUGUGGCACUCAGUGUUGUGGUCUUAUUGACAAGGGAUGCUCCAAUAUACAUUGACCUGACCAUCUUCUCCUUCACCCCCAGCAUGCCUGUGCAGAGCAGGAAGGAGGAAUCCAGUGACAGGCAAUUGUCAGUGAUGGCACUGGGCAUCUCAUCUGCCACUGAGUUAUCAGGAGCUGAGAAACACCAGGUGAAAUGCAGAUGAAAUUAAGAUGUAGACAGUGAUUUUCAAUUCAGCUGGCCAGGCACAGAGGUAUAAAGCUAUAAGGUUAUAGUUUGGCUGCCUGAGGUACUUGCAUGGGGCUGGUAGAUGUGGCAAGAGACCUAUGGGACACCUGCCCUCCUUGAGAUGGAUGAAGAUCAGGCAGAACAAUACAGCAUAUUUCAAACUGCAAGAAAUACUUAUUGAUGGAGAACAAAAUUAAAGUCCUCCUCACAAAACAACAUGCAGCAGUUUAACUGAGACUCAGCCCAGUUGUCCAACACAAGUGUCCAGAUCUCUUUAACAUGCUUUUGGUUAUUUGAGGAAGCCCUAAGGGGCUAAAAAAUAUGGCUUGAGCUGGCCCUUGGACACUUAUUUCUAUUUCACCUGCUGGAUUGAGCUCCUGCUGCUUCCUGAAGAGUGCUCUGAAUGCUCUGUUAACUGUAUUGAUUAGAUUGUCAUGAGUUUUGUCUUUAUCACUUGUUUUUAAAGUACUUUCUACAUCCUCAGUGACAUUCACAUUCAAGUUGACCUUUUUAUCCUCUUCCCAUUGUUAGGGAAGGUUCAUAAUUAGACAAAAUAGAAAUCUUUUCUUUGCCCUGCUUAGUCCAAAUAUUAUGCAGGGAGAAUAGG